Molecule: ribosomal RNA, 482 nt
Filed under: uncultured bacterium
Lineage: Bacteria
Description: partial 16S ribosomal RNA
Rfam family: Bacterial small subunit ribosomal RNA
Source: RNAcentral
AUUGAACGCUGGCGGCAUGCCUUACACAUGCAAGUCGAACGGUAACAGGUCUUCGGAUGCUGACGAGUGGCGAACGGGUGAGUAAUACAUCGGAACGUGCCCGAUCGUGGGGGAUAACGAAGCGAAAGCUUUGCUAAUACCGCAUACGAUCUACGGAUGAAAGCAGGGGACCGCAAGGCCUUGCGCGAACGGAGCGGCCGAUGGCAGAUUAGGUAGUUGGUGGGAUAAAAGCUUACCAAGCCGACGAUCUGUAGCUGGUCUGAGAGGACGACCAGCCACACUGGGACUGAGACACGGCCCAGACUCCUACGGGAGGCAGCAGUGGGGAAUUUUGGACAAUGGGCGAAAGCCUGAUCCAGCCAUGCCGCGUGCAGGAUGAAGGCCUUCGGGUUGUAAACUGCUUUUGUACGGAACGAAAAGACUCUGGUUAAUACCUGGGGUCCAUGACGGUACCGUAAGAAUAAGCACCGGCUAACUACGCG